GGGUGGUGGUGCAUGGCCGUU
RNAcentral lists this non-coding RNA (21 nucleotides) under Arabidopsis thaliana (thale cress). RNAcentral also lists the same sequence under 2 other names. The record is from RNAcentral. Lineage: Eukaryota; Viridiplantae; Streptophyta; Magnoliopsida; Brassicales; Brassicaceae.